AAGCACUUCAGUACGUAUCAAUCGUUGAAAACUGUAGAUAGACUUAUAUAUUUUUAUAUUCGCUACGCCCUGUCAUUGAUUUAGCCAUUAAAACAUUCUAGAAAUACCUUACGUAAACUUUGACAGUAAUUAAACAUUCAAGUUGCAAAAAUUAUUUCUUAAUAAGGUACGAAACUCACCCCAGUUCCUAUUGUAAACAACACGGACUCAAAGUUCAAAUAAUAAGUAGAGCCUCGACAUUAUUAUAACGAACUGUAAUUCAGCUACCUUAUUUGCCUUUGGCGC
Schizosaccharomyces pombe (fission yeast) is the source of this 285-nucleotide non-coding RNA. The record is from the annotation of a GenBank genome assembly. NCBI's taxonomy places the organism in Eukaryota, Fungi, Ascomycota, Schizosaccharomycetes, Schizosaccharomycetales, Schizosaccharomycetaceae.